RNAcentral lists this ribosomal RNA (460 nucleotides) under uncultured bacterium. RNAcentral's name for it is "partial 16S ribosomal RNA". It matches the Rfam family "Bacterial small subunit ribosomal RNA", at positions 338 to 795 of the family's 1533-position model. The record is from RNAcentral.
CCUACGGGAGGCAGCAGUGAGGAAUAUUGGUCAAUGGGCGCGAGUCUGAACCAGCCAAGUAGCGUGAAGGAUGACUGCCCUACGGGUUGUAAACUUCUUUUAUAAAGGAAUAAAGUGAUGCACGUGUGCGUUUUUGUAUGUACCUUAUGAAUAAGGAUCGGCUAACUCCGUGCCAGCAGCCGCGGUAAUACGGAGGAUCCGAGCGUUAUCCGGAUUUAUUGGGUUUAAAGGGAGCGUAGAUGGAUUGUUAAGUCAGUUGUGAAAGUUUGCGGCUCAACCGUAAAAUUGCAAUUGAUACUGGCAGCCUUGAGUACAGUAGAGGUAGGCGGAAUUCGUGGUGUAGCGGUGAAAUGCUUAGAUAUCACGAAGAACUCCGAUUGCGAAGGCAGCUUACUAGACUGCCACUGACAUUGAUGCUCGAAAGUGUGGGUAUCAAACAGGAUUAGAUACCCUGGUAGUC